This 468-nucleotide ribosomal RNA is filed under the name uncultured bacterium. Its description in RNAcentral is "partial 16S ribosomal RNA". It matches the Rfam family "Bacterial small subunit ribosomal RNA", at positions 28 to 507 of the family's 1533-position model. The record is from RNAcentral.
GAUGAACGCUGGCGGCGUGCUUAACACAUGCAAGUCGAACGGAAAGGCCCAAGCUUGCUUGGGUACUCGAGUGGCGAACGGGUGAGUAACACGUGGGUGAUCUGCCCUGCACUUCGGGAUAAGCCUGGGAAACUGGGUCUAAUACCGGAUAGGACGAUGGUUUGGAUGCCAUUGUGGAAAGUUUUUUCGGUGUGGGAUGAGCUCGCGGCCUAUCAGCUUGUUGGUGGGGUAAUGGCCUACCAAGGCGUCGACGGGUAGCCGGCCUGAGAGGGGGUACGGCCACAUUGGGACUGAGAGACGGCCCAGACUCCUACGGGAGGCAGCAGUGGGGAAUAUUGCACAAUGGGCGCAAGCCUGAUGCAGCGACGCCGCGUGGGGGAUGACGGCCUUCGGGUUGUAAACUCCUUUCGCUAGGGACGAAGCGUUUUUGUGACGGUACCUGGAGAAGAAGCACCGGCUAACUACGUG